UGGUCGUAAUAGAUUCGGAGGUCAUAGCGUCCAAGCCAGAUGCGAGCGUGCUGCAUACAGGUCCCAAUGGCGUGGUGGUGCGGCAGCACAGACAGGGGUGGCCUCUCUGCAACAAGCGAUCUCAGAAGUUUGCUGUUCUCGAUACCUUGGAGCAGCAGGACAAGUUCCUUGACCAGCAGGGGCAUAGAGGGCAUUUCAUCGGGAAACCUACGCUGCAGAGGUGGCUUGAGCGGAUGUCGAGCAAGCUGCGCAUAAGCCCGUCGAACUCCGUCG
This 273-nucleotide long non-coding RNA is filed under the name Selaginella moellendorffii. Its description in RNAcentral is "long non-coding RNA (SMOE_LNC001084)". Lineage: Eukaryota; Viridiplantae; Streptophyta; Lycopodiopsida; Selaginellales; Selaginellaceae. The record is from RNAcentral.